Carassius auratus (goldfish) is the source of this 843-nucleotide long non-coding RNA. RefSeq lists it as uncharacterized. The transcript has 5 exons. Lineage: Eukaryota; Metazoa; Chordata; Actinopteri; Cypriniformes; Cyprinidae. The record is from RefSeq and is a predicted model, not a curated record.
UUGCGUCUGGCUUCCCUUACAAUCAAUCAGCUGACGCGUGUGACGCCAGCCGCGUGGACGCGUUUUUGUUUUGUUUUUUUGUUUAGCGCUUACGCGGUCGCCUGCCAGCUACUUGUUUUCAUAAAUACGUGCGAACAUUUCCAGUGUUCGUCAGUAUUAUAACGACCAUCUCGACAUAUUUCGAUCUUAGAACGACAUUCUAACCGGACUGAAUCAUGGCACCCAUCAGAGCGCACGUGGACACUCGGACACGCGAGAACAUGCCAGGGCUUGUCUGAUAUUCAGGGCCUUCGGGACUUCAGCACUAUGGGCAGCAUAUUCCCUAACCAGUUUUUCCCACAUCUUUACCUGGACGGACCUCCUCAAGUAAAGCCGAAGCAUAGUUACAGAGGCAGGGGUUCAUACGCGCGCGUGUUCGCUGUCAACGCUUGACUGACUGCAGAAGUUCCUUACAGAGGAUUCCGACAUGUACUUCAGUGUUAAGUCGUCAUGACUGAACAGGGGCGGAGCUUAAAGACACGGGGAAGGACUGCAGCCUGAGUGAUACUCCCCAAAUACCUGAGUAAAGGCCACGCCCCUCCCCACCUCAUUAAUAAACUCCCAGGUCACUCAGUUGGGAGAGAGCACACCUGUCAGUCUCGGAUCAGAAGCUUUUUAGUCCCAAAGAGAGUCUGAUCCACACCUAGACCUUCAGCUGUCCCACAAGAGACGCCUCGCUCAGAAGAGACUGAAUGUGCCUGCUGCAGCAGAUGCAGAGAUGGAGUUCAUGGAGCAUUUAAUGCGAACCAAGAAAUCUCGGUUGGGCUUCUAAGAAUCAGACUCAAAAGAAGGAAUGCUGCAAGG